Molecule: long non-coding RNA, 821 nt
Filed under: Homo sapiens (human)
Lineage: Eukaryota; Metazoa; Chordata; Mammalia; Primates; Hominidae
Description: non-protein coding lnc-LRRC3-6:3
Source: RNAcentral
UGUCCUGGCCACCCGGGUGCAGAGGGGGUGGAUGUGAGGACCUUAAUGAACUAGCUGAUGUCAAAGCCCCUUCUAGCUCCCAUUCUGAGUGAACUAGAUACACGUGUCCUGUUUGCUUGACAACCCUUUUGCAGAGGGAGGUAUUUUUCCUUCCACUUUUACCCAUGAGGAAGUGGAGGCCCAGGAAAGUGAGAGAGGUGGCUCAGCUUCCACCACUGGCCAGCGGUGUGGCCUGGAAUGCAGGCCCCAGCAACUUUGCAGCCUCCUGCCUUAAGGGAGUGGGCUGGACCCCAAAUGAAUCAGUCCCAGGCCGGGCGCGGUGGCUCACGCCUGUAAUCUCAGCACUUUGGGAGGCCAAGGUGGGUGGAUCACAAGGUUAGGAGAUCAAGACUAUCCUGGCUAACAUGGUGAAACCUCAUCUCUACUAAAAAUACAAAAAUUAGCCGGGUGUGGUGGCGUGCGCUUGUAAUCCCAGCUACUUGGGAGGCUGAGGCAGGAGAAUCGCUUGAACCCAGGAGGCGGAGGUUGCAGUGAGCUGAGAUCGCGCUGCUGCACUCCAGCCUGGGCGACAGAGCAAGACUCCACCUAAAAAAAAAAAAAAUUUAGUCCCAAAUGCCUCUCAGCUCCUGCCCUAUCCCAGACAUCUUAAAGCUCAGAGCUGGUCUGCUGCCUAUUUCCCAGCCUAGGUGCUCAGUGGAAGUUGGGCGCCUCCAGUUAUUUUCUGAGGUUGAAAAAGCUUAACUAAAAUAUAACUUUGCAGGCCAGGCACAGUGGCUCAUGCUUGUAAUCCCAACAUUUUGGGAGGCUGAGGUGGGAGGAUU